Molecule: non-coding RNA, 93 nt
Organism: Acanthosepion pharaonis
Lineage: Eukaryota; Metazoa; Mollusca; Cephalopoda; Sepiida; Sepiidae
Source: the annotation of a GenBank genome assembly
AUUACCGGUUCCCAUACGAUCACCGAAGUUAAGCAACAUUGAGCCUGGUCAGUACCUAGAUGGAUGACCGCUUGGAAAUAUCAGGUGCUGUAA